This 253-nucleotide ribosomal RNA is filed under the name uncultured bacterium. Its description in RNAcentral is "partial 16S ribosomal RNA". It matches the Rfam family "Bacterial small subunit ribosomal RNA", at positions 524 to 776 of the family's 1533-position model. The record is from RNAcentral.
CACGUAGGGGGCGAGCGUUGUUCGGAAUUACUGGGCGUAAAGGGCAUGUAGGCGGUCUUGUAAGCCUGACGUGAAAGGCUAUGGCUCAACCAUGGCACUGCGUUGGGAACUGCGUGACUAGAAUCACGGAGAGGGAGCUGGAAUUCCAGGUGUAGGGGUGAAAUCUGUAGAUAUCUGGAAGAACACCAGUGGCGAAGGCGAGCUCCUGGCCGAUGAUUGACGCUGAGGUGCGAAAGUGUGGGGAUCAAACAGG